This 28-nucleotide non-coding RNA is filed under the name Homo sapiens (human). Lineage: Eukaryota; Metazoa; Chordata; Mammalia; Primates; Hominidae. The record is from RNAcentral.
UCGCGUGGGAACGAGAAGACACUCGUGG